AUUGAACGCUGGCGGCAGGCCUAACACAUGCAAGUCGAGCGGAUGAAGGGAGCUUGCUCCUGGAUUCAGCGGCGGACGGGUGAGUAAUGCCUAGGAAUCUGCCUUGUAGUGGGGGAUAACGUCCGGAAACGGGCGCUAAUACCGCAUACGUCCUGAGGGCGAAAGUGGGGGAUCUUCGGACCUCACGCUAUCAGAUGAGCCUAGGUCGGUUUAGCUAGUUGGUGGGGUAAAGGCCUACCAAGGCGACGAUCCGUAACUGGUCUGAGAGCAUGAUCAGACACCCUGGCUGUGAGGCUGGGUCGAGACUCCUACAGGAAGCCGCAGUGGGGAAUAUUAGGCGAUGGGGGAAUGGCUAAUCCAGCAAUACCGGGGGUGUGAAGAAGGACUUCGGAUUGUAAAGCACUGUAGGUUGGAAGGAAGGGCAGUAAGUUUAUCCCUUGCUGUUUUGACGUUACCGACAGAAUAAGCACCGGCUAACUUCGUG
Molecule: ribosomal RNA, 484 nt
Filed under: uncultured bacterium
Lineage: Bacteria
Description: partial 16S ribosomal RNA
Rfam family: Bacterial small subunit ribosomal RNA
Source: RNAcentral